This 761-nucleotide ribosomal RNA is filed under the name Vibrio sp. a118. RNAcentral describes it as "bacterial SSU rRNA". It matches the Rfam family "Bacterial small subunit ribosomal RNA", at positions 312 to 1066 of the family's 1533-position model. Lineage: Bacteria; Pseudomonadati; Pseudomonadota; Gammaproteobacteria; Vibrionales; Vibrionaceae. The record is from RNAcentral.
ACUGGACUGAGACACGGUCCAGACUCCUACGGGAGGCAGCAGUGGGGAAUAUUGCACAAUGGGCGAAAGCCUGAUGCAGCCAUGCCGCGUGUAUGAAGAAGGCCUUCGGGUUGUAAAGUACUUUCAGUUGUGAGGAAGGGUGUGUAGUUAAUAGCUGCGCAUCUUGACGUUAGCAACAGAAGAAGCACCGGCUAACUCCGUGCCAGCAGCCGCGGUAAUACGGAGGGUGCGAGCGUUAAUCGGAAUUACUGGGCGUAAAGCGCAUGCAGGUGGUUCAUUAAGUCAGAUGUGAAAGCCCGGGGCUCAACCUCGGAACUGCAUUUGAAACUGGUGAACUAGAGUGCUGUAGAGGGGGGUAGAAUUUCAGGUGUAGCGGUGAAAUGCGUAGAGAUCUGAAGGAAUACCAGUGGCGAAGGCGGCCCCCUGGACAGACACUGACACUCAGAUGCGAAAGCGUGGGGAGCAAACAGGAUUAGAUACCCUGGUAGUCCACGCCGUAAACGAUGUCUACUUGGAGGUUGUGGCCUUGAGCCGUGGCUUUCGGAGCUAACGCGUUAAGUAGACCGCCUGGGGAGUACGGUCGCAAGAUUAAAACUCAAAUGAAUUGACGGGGGCCCGCACAAGCGGUGGAGCAUGUGGUUUAAUUCGAUGCAACGCGAAGAACCUUACCUACUCUUGACAUCCAGAGAAGCCAGCGGAGACGCAGGUGUGCCUUCGGGAGCUCUGAGACAGGUGCUGCAUGGCUGUCGUCAGCUCGUGUU